Molecule: ribosomal RNA, 301 nt
Filed under: uncultured bacterium
Lineage: Bacteria
Description: partial 16S ribosomal RNA
Rfam family: Bacterial small subunit ribosomal RNA
Source: RNAcentral
CAGUGCCGCGGUAAUACGGAGGGAGCUAGCGUUGUUCGGAAUUACUGGGCGUAAAGCGCGCGUAGGCGGUUACUCAAGUCAGAGGUGAAAGCCCUGGGCUCAACCCCGGAACUGCCUUUGAAACUAGGUGACUAGAAUCUUGGAGAGGUCAGUGGAAUUCCGAGUGUAGAGGUGAAAUUCGUAGAUAUUCGGAAGAACACCAGUGGCGAAGGCGACUGACUGGACAAGUAUUGACGCUGAGGUGCGAAAGCGUGGGGAGCAAACAGGAUUAGAUACCCCUGUAGUCCCUGUCUCUUAUACC